RNAcentral lists this unclassified non-coding RNA (300 nucleotides) under uncultured fungus. RNAcentral describes it as "partial contains small subunit ribosomal RNA, internal transcribed spacer 1, and 5.8S ribosomal RNA". The stretch from base 1 to 73 matches the Rfam family "Eukaryotic small subunit ribosomal RNA", at positions 1759 to 1831 of the family's 1831-position model. Lineage: Eukaryota; Fungi. The record is from RNAcentral.
GCAAACUUGGUCAUUUAGAGGAAGUAAAAGUCGUAACAAGGUUUCCGUAGGUGAACCUGCGGAAGGAUCAUUAUUGAGUUGGGGUUCUUAGGGGCCCGAUCUCCCACCAUUGUCUAUCCUACCACGUUGCUUUGACGAGCCCGUCUCAUCGGACCGCCGGGGAUCUAGGUUUCUGGCCAGUGCUCGUCAAUAGCCUCAAUAAAUUCUCUUGAAAACCCGCGUCCGAGUUUGAUGUGAAUACAUUUAUUAAAAACUUUCAACAACGGAUCUCUUGGUUCUGGCAUCGAUGAAGAACGCAGC